This 667-nucleotide ribosomal RNA is filed under the name uncultured Intrasporangiaceae bacterium. RNAcentral's name for it is "bacterial SSU rRNA". It matches the Rfam family "Bacterial small subunit ribosomal RNA", at positions 97 to 779 of the family's 1533-position model. Lineage: Bacteria; Bacillati; Actinomycetota; Actinomycetes; Micrococcales; Intrasporangiaceae. The record is from RNAcentral.
GGCGAACGGGUGAGGAACACGUGAAGAAUCUGCCUUCAACUCUGGGAUAACUCCGGGAAACCGGGGCUAAUACCGGAUAUGAGCCUUGGCCGCAUGGCCGGGGCUGGAAAGUUUUUCGGUUGAAGAUGACUUCGCGGCCUAUCAGCUUGUUGGUGAGGUAACGGCUCACCAAGGCGACGACGGGUAGCCGGCCUGAGAGGGCGACCGGCCACACUGGGACUGAGACACGGCCCAGACUCCUACGGGAGGCAGCAGUGGGGAAUAUUGGGCAAUGGAGGAAACUCUGACCCAGCGACGCCGCGUGAGGGAUGAAGGCCUUCGGGUUGUAAACCUCUUUCAGUAGGGAAGAAGCGAAAGUGACGGUACCUACAGAAGAAGCACCGGCUAACUAUGUGCCAGCAGCCGCGGUAAUACAUAGGGUGCAAGCGUUGUCCGGAAUUAUUGGGCGUAAAGAGCUCGUAGGUCGUUUGUCGCGUCGAUUGUGAAAAUCUGAGGCUCAACCUCAGACCUGCAGUCGAUACGGGCAAACUAGAGUGUGGUAGGGGAGACUGGAAUUCCUGGUGUAGCGGUGGAAUGCGCAGAUAUCAGGAGGAACACCAAUGGCGAAGGCAGGUCUCUGGGCCAUAACUGACACUGAGGAGCGAAAGUGCGGGGAGCGAACAGGAUU